AUGUACCCUGUAGCAUGGGCUGUUGUGGAAAAAGAAACUACAGAGACAUGGAAGUGGUUUAUUGGGCUGCUAAUCAAGGAUUUGGAUAUCAAUGAUCAAGGAGCUGGCUGGGUUUUUAUUUCUGACCAGCAAAAGGUAAUUUUGUCUACAAGUUUCUUAGUAUCUUGCAUUAUUUGUUCCAUAUGUGUAUGUUGUACUUGUUCCUUGUGUGGUUGUCGAUAA
This 222-nucleotide ribosomal RNA is filed under the name Triticum aestivum (bread wheat). Its description in RNAcentral is "partial small subunit ribosomal RNA". The record is from RNAcentral. Lineage: Eukaryota; Viridiplantae; Streptophyta; Magnoliopsida; Poales; Poaceae.